Mycena filopes is the source of this 95-nucleotide non-coding RNA. The record is from the annotation of a GenBank genome assembly. Lineage: Eukaryota; Fungi; Basidiomycota; Agaricomycetes; Agaricales; Mycenaceae.
UCGGACGUGGUCCAGCGAAGGACGGCCUCUCCCAUUUAGCCAAUAUCCCGCGUUCGUUGAGGGGGCAAAUCCGGGUUCGACUCCCGGCGUCCGGA